Molecule: long non-coding RNA, 1390 nt
Organism: Malus domestica (apple)
Lineage: Eukaryota; Viridiplantae; Streptophyta; Magnoliopsida; Rosales; Rosaceae
Source: RefSeq, a predicted model, not a curated record
GCCCACUUGUCUUGGCUAAAAGUGAGAUCAAAAUCUUACAUACAUUUCAAGAAAUUUCAAGGAAAUGCAGAAACAAUCAUCAUGCAAAUAAUUGUGCCAAAUUUCCAGUUAAGUGAAAGAUGGUUGGUUGAGUUGGUAAGGAUCGUUUUUUUUUCACUAGAUCAAAGUCUAGGUUCAAGUCUACCUAUUGACAAUCCUUCUUGAUGGGCAAUGUAAAAACCAAAAGAAGGGCUAAGAUCUCCAAGUCCUCAAGGAAACUUGUGAAAUGCUUGAACUCUGGAAUGGGGUAGCCUCCCCUCCACCUAAACUUUUUAGGAUCAAAAGAACAUGGAGCAAGAACAAAAAAUUUCUUUAGUUGGACUAGCCAAUUAAUUGAAAAAAGAUUAAUCGUGGAGACGUUGGAAAAUGACGAAUCAAAACAUUUCCGUCCUCUCAAACAUGAGGAAGAUAAGCAGACAAAAGCCGAGCAAGGAGGCAGCUUCGUGUGAAGAACGUGACGACUGAUGGGAAAGAUGUCGCCACUCAAACCCAACAAGGCUUGGUUAAAUUUGUUUCCUUUUGAUAUAAACUUUUGGUUGCAACGUGGGUUUUUUUUUUUUUUUUUUUUUUUCACAAAGUGAAAAGAUUGAUGCUUUCAUAGCCAAAUGCAUAAGCGCUCUCUACCCAUCUCAGCUGAGGUGGGAAUUUACUUUGCCAUAUCAGUUUUAAGUCAAAGGGGUUCAUCACAGUCUCACUUUGAAGAUUUCAUUGCCCCGUCGUUGAAAUUUCAAUAUAGGAGACCAAUCAUAGGUCGUUUGAAAAUGCUUCUCUGGAAAGCACUUCAGCUCAAAAGUGUUUUCUCAGAAGCAAGUUGAAAUUCUCUCUUCCAUGUAUUUUGCUAACCGAGAAGCAUUUCAACUUUUUCUAUGUUGUUAAAGCACUUUCAAUAUUCAUUCAUUUAUAUAAACUUCAUGAAGUUGUUAAUUGACGAGAAACUAUGAAAUUGUUACAUUUGGUCAACUGUUUCAGGUAGUUUGGCUACAAAUGCUCCAGAUUCUUCGUCCAUUGCAUUGAAUAUCAAAUACCAUGCCGAAUUCACACCCUCUUUCUCUAUCGGAUCGUUCGCGCUUCGUAAGGAUGCUACGCCACUGCUUAAAGUGUUCGUGAUAUGCUCAUUGUUACUAAGAAAAUUACCUAUGAGUACUAUGACAGACUGAACGUAAGCAGGCAUAUUAUCUCUCAAUGGAGUUUCUACAGGUUUGCCAUAAUCAUCUGUCUCCUUAUCCUGACGCCGAAAAUCACCUCUAUUUUCGGCGAACCACGCACUUUAUGAGGUAGAGCUCUCUUAUGAAGAACUAACAUGUCAUAAAGCAGGCAUAUUAGCUCUUCAUGAGGUAGAUGGUGUUUCUCC